CAAACAGGACAUCACUAAUGUCCUGUUUGACUGGAAGAAGGGUCGUCAGGAGGUGUUUAUGUAUGAUGCUGGUGACCAUUACAAUAAUAGACCAUCAGGCCAAGAUAAGCAGUUCAAAGCUCGGGUCUCUCACCUGGAAGAAGAACUGAAACACGGUAACGCCUCCAUAAGGAUCAACAACACCAGGGUGUCUGACAGUGGGAACUACACGUGUCUUUUUCCACGGCUCAACCCCCCGAGAACGUUCAGCGUGCAGCUCUUUGUCAGUCCCUCCUACAUGGACAGAUUAGCUGAAAACAUUCUUGGCGCGUCUAUGACACCAUAUACUGCCAUACUUAAUGCCACAGAAGACGGGGUGACGCUGAGGUGUGAGGUUCCAGGUGUUUUUCCCAAACCAGAGUUAGAGUGGCAGGACAGCGAUGGAAACGUUCUCCCUGCCGAGGAGCCACAGGUCUCUGAAAAGCGAGGACGCUACUACGUCUCCCUGAGAUCCACCGUUAGCAGGACAACAACUAACCUGUUUGUCUGCGUAGCCAGGCAGGAGGACAUCCACCACCAGACUAAAGCAGAGAUCUAUGUGCCCGAGAAAAUGUUUGAGUCAUGCAAAGUGUCAGAUCAGAUCAGUGUUCAUGGCUGGAGUGUUGUGCUUGGAAUUCUAAUUGGAGCUGUGGGAACGUUACUCCUGAUCUGCGCCAUCAGAACAUGUCAGAGAGGUACGUUUAAAAAGAAAUGAUGUUAGUAACUAUCUGCAGGGUGCAAAAAUACUGAUUUCAUAUUAUUGUUUUUGCAUUUUCUCUGUGUGUCGUGUAACACUCUGGACUCUUGUACUAUGAAUAGAUGCAACACCACAGUGUUAGAGAUGCAGACUUUUGAACCGAUGGUCUCUCCCCUCUUUAAUCCUGAGGAUGCAGUGUCCAUGUUUUCCAACAAUAAUUUUACAUUUGGAUUUGUCUGACCUCGGAACAGUUUUCCAGAGCUGUGGUUUAGAUCAUGAUUACAUGUGUGGCUUAUUCUUUGCAUGAUGGAGCUUUAACCUGCGUUUGUGCACCGCUCUGUGAGCUGUGUUCAGACAGUGAUGUCUGGCAGUGAUCCUGGGUCCAUGCACUGAUGUCCAUGACAGAAGCACGCCACGCUAACAACAGGAGAGUGGAUAUUCCCAGAAUCUGUCUCUGCUUGUUAGAUGGAAACCUAAACCACAGUGACACCCAAAACUAUUCAGUUUCGGGUGUAAACAGUCAUUCAGACUCAGCUCGCUGUGGACCGUACACCACAGUUCCGAGUCCCAGUACCUGUAGCAAGUGUGGAGAAACCGUGGACCAGAGUGGCCCCAACAGCCAUGACGCACCAACACCUGGGCCAGCUGUGCACACAGCAUAUUUGAGUGGUACUCAAAGGUCAACUGAAAGGGGUCAUUCAGACUCAUUCCAACAUGAACCUCAAACUGCAGAGUCUGUAAAUUUGAGCCAGUUUGGAGAAACAUCGGACCAAAGUGCCACCAACGGCCGUGCUGUGCACGAGACGGCUGCAAACACAAACAUCACUCAGAAGUCAGCUGGGAAACUAAAACAGCUGACAACUCAAGAAAAGUCAGGAGCAGAACGUGCUGAGGAUACAACGGAGAGAUAAAGUUAGACGCAAAGCCGGACAACAGGGACUGAUGAAUAUGUGAACCACUGUCUUACAUUCAGUCUGUGCAAAAGUGAUGAGCCAGCACUUAUUUCUCUAUAUAAUUUGGUUAAGAUGUAAAAUUAGUUCAGGAAUUAUUUGAAACAUGUGCAAACAUAAAUUACAUUUUUUGGGAAUCACCAGCAAAAAUACUAUGUUAUGUUAUCCAGCACUGUUGCCUCACAGUAAGAAGGUUCCUGGGUUUGAAUCCACCACUUGGCCUUUCCCUUGUCUACGCGGGUUCUUUCCUCCCACAGGUCAAAGGCCAUGCAGUCAGCAGGGGUUAGGUUAAUUGGUGAUUCUAAAUUGAACAUUUGUGUGAAUGGUUGUCUGUCUGUGUUAGUCAUGUGACAGACUGGCAACCUGUCCGGAGUGUGCCCCGCCUCUGGUCCUAUGGCAGCUCGGGUAGGCUCCAGCCCACCCUCGACCUUCUAUUGGAUAAACAGGAGAGCAUGUUUUUGCAACAAGCAAAAACGUUAGCAUAAUAAACAAAAAAAUCUUCUGAACAGAAAAUGAUUGAAAAAGUAGCCAAUGUCCAAUAAUCUGAAUCUUUGAAAGACUUUCAGAAAGCCUGCAGAACUGAACACUGCUACAUUAUUAGAAAAUCUCACUCCUAAGAAGGAAACUAGAGAAAUGUGGUGUGGCUCAAGACUUUUCCACAGUAUUGUAUUAACCACAUAUUAGUUUGUCUUCAUUGGCUCCCUGUUAAAUUUAACAUCAAAUUUUAAAUUGUUCUCCUCACAUACAAACUCUUAAAUAAUCCGGCUCCAUCAUGUUUUAGAAACCUGUACCACAUGACCCCAUUAGAGCACUUCACUCUCGCUCUGCAGGCCUACUUGUUGUUCCUAGAGUAUUUA
Long non-coding RNA from Oreochromis aureus, 2522 nucleotides. RefSeq lists it as uncharacterized. NCBI's taxonomy places the organism in Eukaryota, Metazoa, Chordata, Actinopteri, Cichliformes, Cichlidae. The transcript has 8 exons. The record is from RefSeq and is a predicted model, not a curated record.